CCCCGCCAGAUUCCUUACCCCUCAGCUCUAAACAUUGGUCUGGGCGACUCAAAAGGGAGGACAAUUAAAAUGGACUUGGGGAGUUUGAAUGACAUACAAGCUCACUUCAAACAUAA
Molecule: small nucleolar RNA, 116 nt
Filed under: Echinops telfairi (small Madagascar hedgehog)
Lineage: Eukaryota; Metazoa; Chordata; Mammalia; Afrosoricida; Tenrecidae
Description: Small nucleolar RNA SNORA61 (ENSETEG00000026350.1)
Source: RNAcentral